GAAUAUGGGGGGACCAUCCUCCAAGGCUAAAUACUCCUGACUGACCGAUAGUGAACCAGUACCGUGAGGGAAAGGCGAAAAGAACCCCGGCGAGGGGAGUGAAAAAGAACCUGAAACCGUGUACGUACAAGCAGUGGGAGCCCCACCACUAAGCCAGUGGUGAACUCCACAUACGCAUCCUUUGCUGAGGAUACGGUUAACGGAGCGAAAGCGAUGUUCAACCGCAAAAGAAGCAGAGGGGGCUUAGUGGUGGGGUGACUGCGUACCUUUUGUAUAAUGGGUCAGCGACUUAUAUUCUGUAGCAAGGUUAACCGAAUAGGGGAGCCGGAGGGAAACCGAGUCUUAAUUGGGCGUUAAGUUGCAGGGUAUAGACCCGAAACCCGGUGAUCUAGCCAUGGGCAGGUUGAAGGUUGGGUAACACUAACUGGAGGACCGAACCGACUAAUGUUGAAAAAUUAGCGGAUGACCUGUGGCUGGGGGUGAAAGGCCAAUCAAACCGGGAGAUAGCUGGUUCUCCCCGAAAGCUAUUUAGGUAGCGCCUCGUGAAUUCAUCUCCGGGGGUAGAGCACUGUUUCGGCUAGG
This 582-nucleotide ribosomal RNA is filed under the name Salmonella enterica. RNAcentral's name for it is "partial 23S ribosomal RNA". It matches the Rfam family "Bacterial large subunit ribosomal RNA", at positions 440 to 923 of the family's 2925-position model. The record is from RNAcentral. Lineage: Bacteria; Pseudomonadati; Pseudomonadota; Gammaproteobacteria; Enterobacterales; Enterobacteriaceae.